ACGAAUGCAGACGCAGACUAUUCUUCCCCAACGCAGCCGCCAUUUUCGGUAUCUGAUGAGGGAGAGAGGGAGGAAGUUGGAGAACAGGCGACCAACGCUAACGGAGUUCCCUAUGCAGCCAAUCAGAAGAUCCACGCUGAUUGAGGAGGUAGGAGAGAGUCUGCUGCCGGAAGGUUCGCCGGUGGAUGGUGGUGGAGGUGCUGUUUCUGGUCAACACGAGUGUGAGCGGCGAUGGGCGGAUCUGCAUGGCAUCUCUGCACCGGUGGCGAUGAGCGAAGAUGGGCGAAUCUGCAGUAUGGCAGCAGUGUGAAGGGACAAGUCGCUUCCAUAUUCUGAGCUCCAUACGGGGAAGAUGAAUCCCCAGACUCCGUGUUGGAGUAAGAGGUUGAGAAUUGGUGCCGCUGCUCCUAGCAGGACACCCCAAACCGCAUUGUUUGUGUAAAACCCGGCUGAAAAUGUUACUCCGGUGUUGGGUACUACUUUAACUUGCUGGGUGAAGCAUAUGAGGUGAGCCUUGGAUCAAGUUCCUUGAUUUCUGUCUGAUCUGUGGCUUGGAAAGGUCGCUUUCCGUCAAAGGGUGGUAGGCGUGGAUUGAAUACAGGGCGAGUUUGUUCUUCUCUGACGCAGACAUCAUUUUGAAACUUCAGAAGCACGGGAGGGAGGGAGUGGAAGAACAGGCGACCAACGGCGAUGGCUUUCCUGAUGUUCCGGCGGUUAAGCUUUUGUGAUUUGUCUCUCCUAGAUCCACUUUGAUUGAGGAGUUGAGUUAUUAAGAAAGCCCAAAGAAUAUCGUUGUGAAGAUUCCGGCGUAGAUGAUAAUUCAAACAAGUUGUGAAGCUGGUGCUGGAGAAAUGUCAUUGUGAAGCUCAUCCUUUUGUUGUGUUUGUCAAUGGUUGCUGGGACACCUUGUGUGAGGUCAAACUAAUCUUCGACUUGAAACUUGGGCACCUUGCACUCUGUUUCUCAACUUACCACUGUUGAGCAAUGCUUAAUGUACUCAUCUCUUUAAAUAUAGAGCAGUGCUACCUUUUCUGAGCACGCA
Non-coding RNA from Triticum urartu, 1042 nucleotides. The record is from RefSeq and is a predicted model, not a curated record. NCBI's taxonomy places the organism in Eukaryota, Viridiplantae, Streptophyta, Magnoliopsida, Poales, Poaceae.